CGAAGAUACCAGCUGGCUGCAACUGUUUAAUAAAAACACAGCACUGUGCAAACACGAAAGUGGACGUAUACGGUGUGACGCCUGCCCGGUGCUGGAAGGUUAAUUGAUGGGGUCAGCCGCAAGGCGAAGCUCUUGAUCGAAGCCCCAGUAAACGGCGGCCGUAACUAUAACGGUCCUAAGGUAGCGAAAUUCCUUGUCGGGUAAGUUCCGACCUGCACGAAUGGCGUAAUGAUGGCCAGGCUGUCUCCACCCGAGACUCAGUGAAAUUGAACUCGCUGUGAAGAUGCAGUGUACCCGCGGCAAGACGGAAAGACCCCGUGAACCUUUACUAUAGCUUGACACUGAACAUUGAGCCUUGAUGUGUAGGAUAGGUGGGAGGCUUUGAAGCGUGGACGCCAGUCUGCGUGGAGCCAUCCUUGAAAUACCACCCUUUAAUGUUUGAUGUUCUAACUCGGCCCCGUGAUCCGGGGUGAGGACAGUGUCUGGUGGGUAGUUUGACUGGGGCGGUCUCCUCCCAAAGAGUAACGGAGGAGCACGAAGGUUAGCUAAUCACGGUCGGACAUCGUGAGGUUAGUGCAAAGGCAUAAGCUAGCUUGACUGCGAGAGUGACGGCUCGAGCAGGUACGAAAGUAGGUCUUAGUGAUCCGGUGGUUCUGAAUGGAAGGGCCAUCGCUCAACGGAUAAAAGGUACUCCGGGGAUAACAGGCUGAUACCGCCCAAGAGUUCAUAUCGACGGCGGUGUUUGGCACCUCGAUGUCGGCUCAUCACAUCCUGGGGCUGAAGUAGGUCCCAAGGGUAUGGCUGUUCGCCAUUUAAAGUGGUACGCGAGCUGGGUUUAGAACGUCGUGAGACAGUUCGGUCCCUAUCUGCCGUGGGCGUUGGAAGAUUGAGAGGGGUUGCUCCUAGUACGAGAGGACCGGAGUGAACGCACCACUGGUGUUCGGGUUGUCAUGCCAAUGGCAUUGCCCGGUAGCUAAGUGCGGAAAAGAUAAGCGCUGAAAGCAUCUAAGCGCGAAACUU
This 1020-nucleotide ribosomal RNA is filed under the name Serratia marcescens. Its description in RNAcentral is "partial 23S ribosomal RNA". It matches the Rfam family "Bacterial large subunit ribosomal RNA", at positions 1778 to 2795 of the family's 2925-position model. Lineage: Bacteria; Pseudomonadati; Pseudomonadota; Gammaproteobacteria; Enterobacterales; Yersiniaceae. The record is from RNAcentral.